This 383-nucleotide ribosomal RNA is filed under the name uncultured bacterium. RNAcentral describes it as "bacterial SSU rRNA". It matches the Rfam family "Bacterial small subunit ribosomal RNA", at positions 30 to 414 of the family's 1533-position model. The record is from RNAcentral.
AGUGAACGCUGGCGGCAGGCCUAACACAUGCAAGUCGAGCGGCAGCGCGGGGGCAACCCUGGCGGCGAGCGGCGGACGGGUGAGGAACACAUCGGAAUCUACCUUGUCGUGGGGGAUAACGUAGGGAAACUUACGCUAAUACCGCAUACGACCUACGGGUGAAAGCGGCGGACCGCAAGGCGUCGCGCGAUUGGAUGAGCCGAUGUCCGAUUAGCUAGUUGGCGGGGUAAAGCCCACCAAGGCGACGAUCGGUAGCUGGUCUGAGAGGACGACCAGCCACACUGGAACUGAGACACGGUCCAGACUCCUACGGGAGGCAGCAGUGGGGAAUAUUGGACAAUGGGCGCAAGCCUGAUCCAGCCAUGCCGCGUGGGUGAAGAAGG